RNAcentral lists this ribosomal RNA (616 nucleotides) under uncultured bacterium. RNAcentral's name for it is "bacterial SSU rRNA". It matches the Rfam family "Bacterial small subunit ribosomal RNA", at positions 8 to 612 of the family's 1533-position model. The record is from RNAcentral.
AGAGUUUGAUCAUGGCUCAGAACGAACGCUGGCGGCGUGCUUAACACAUGCAAGUCGAACGCGAACGAGUUCUUCGGAACUUUAGUAGAGUGGCGCACGGGUGAGUAACGCGUAAGUUAUCUACCCUCCCAUCUGGAAUAACCCACCGAAAGGUGUGCUAAUACCGGAUACGUUGAUUUAUCAAGAAAGGUGGCCUCUAUUUAUAUGCUACCGUGGGGGGAUGAGCUUGCGUACCAUUAGCUAGUUGGUAGGGUAAUGGCCUACCAAGGCAACGAUGGUUAGCGGGUCUGAGAGGAUGAUCCGCCACACUGGAACUGGAACACGGACCAGACUCCUACGGGAGGCAGCAGUGAGGAAUAUUGCGCAAUGGGGGAAACCCUGACGCAGCGACGCCGCGUGGAUGAUGAAGGCCUUUGGGUCGUAAAAUCCUGUCAGAUGGAAAGAAAUGCUAUUGGUUUAAUAUGCCUUUAGUUUGACGGUACCAUCAAAGGAAGCACCGGCUAACUCCGUGCCAGCAGCCGCGGUAAUACGGAGGGUGCAAGCGUUGUUCGGAAUUACUGGGCGUAAAGCGCGCGUAGGUGGCUUUUUAAGUCAGAUGUGAAAGUCCACGGCUCAA